RNAcentral lists this unclassified non-coding RNA (2998 nucleotides) under Hevea brasiliensis (rubber tree). The record is from RNAcentral. Lineage: Eukaryota; Viridiplantae; Streptophyta; Magnoliopsida; Malpighiales; Euphorbiaceae.
AUAUAACUUCACAAUAUUCCGAUGCCUGAUCUUUCCCAGUGUCAAAAUUUCGGCACGGAAGCUAUUGUCAAUGGUGCUCCCCUCUCUGUUUGAUGCUAAUUUCUUAACUGCAAUAGUGUGACCAGAUGGCAAGACUGCUCUAUAUACAGUUCCACAAGCUCCCCUUCCUAUCACAAAGCUGUCAUCAAAAUUGUCAGUUGCUGCAACCAAGUCCUGGAAAGUGAACCCUUCCUUCGGAGAAAAGUAAAUAUCCGAAACUGGAGAAGAGAAUGAUUUUUCUUGCAAAGGAGCAACUGUUUCAACUGGGCGUCUCAUGAAAUAUAUAAUCACUAUAACUAAAAUGAGAGACACCCCACCAACAAAAGCUGCAACUAUAGCAAUAAUUUUACCUAAACGGGCAUUUUUCCCUUCCGUAGCUGAAGCAAGAUAGGACGAUGGAGAUUCACUGCACUUACCAAAAGGUCCACCACAAAGCCCGUCAUUCCCAAGAAAACAGUUGUUGCAUGUGUUUAGAAAGAGUGGCAAGGAAGGUAAAGGCCCUUUUAAGUCAUUGUAAGAAAAGUUGCAUCCAAGUAGGCUAGAAAGGUUCAUUAAGGAGCCUGGAAUUUCACCACUCAAAUGAUUGUUGUUGAGCAGCAGGAAUUCCAGUAACACAAGAUUUCCUAGCUCUCCAGGUAUUGACCCAGAGAGAUUAUUAUAGCUGAGGUUUAAUGCAAUCUGCAAGCUUGAUAGGCUACCCAUCUCAGCUGGGAUCCUAUCAGAAAAUAAGUUUCCUCCCAUUUGUAGUUCAGUUAGGCGGCUCAGAUUUCCCACCUCCAGAGGUAUAAUACCAGAAAUUUGAUUGUCUGAGAGCAUGAGAAGCUCCAAUUGGGAAAGGCCUCCUAUCUCACUUGGUAAAGCACCUACAAAAUUGUUCUGGCUGAGAUCAAGUCGUUGCAGCAUCGUGCAGUUAAAGAUCUCUGCUGGUAUUGUUCCAUUGAGCAGAUUAGAUGAGAUGUUGAAGGUCACCAAUUCAGAAAGUUUACCAAUCUCUUUUGGCAAUUCACCUAUAAAGUAGUUAUCCGGGAGAUGCAGCCUUUUCAGAACGUGGCAGUUACCUAUCUCAGGAGGAAUGGGACCAUUAAACUUGUUCUGGCCCAAUUCAAUACUAGAGAGAUUCACUAGCUUGCAUAAAUCAGCUGGAAAGCUCCCAAUAAGUUCAUUUCCUGCAAGAUAAAGCUGCGCCAACGUCUUGCAGUUAAUGAUACCAGUUGGGAUAUAACCUGAGAGGUUAUUUGACCCAAGGUUCAACAAAAAAAGGUUACCAUUUCUACAAAGAUGAGGUGGAAUUGUUCCAGUUAGGUAGUUAUUUGAUAAAUCCACCACCCAUAGGUUUCCAUAGACUCCAAGUCCUUGAGGAAUGUUACCAUUAAAUAAGUUGUUGAAGAGCUGCAACAUGAUCAACUGCUUCAGAUACUGGAAUCCCACAGGAAUACUACCUGUGAGAUUAUUAAUGGAGAGGUCGAGCCUUGUUAAGUUUACCAAAGUAGUAAGCUCAUCUGGGAUGACACCAGUAAGCUCAUUCUCGAAAAGAUAAAGCAACUGCAAUCCAGUUAUCUUAGCCAACUCUGUUGGUAUCACUCCAGUCAACAUGUUCUCAGAGAAAUCAAUCUCUACUGCAGAAGACAGAUUCCCAAUCUCUUUUGGGAUCGUUCCAUUCAAGUGAUUUCUGUAGAGGUAUAACUUUUCCAGGAACACCAGGUCACCAAGCUCCUCGGGUAUAGGCCCCACAAGAUAGUUGUCAUAGAGAGCAAGAGUCACCAAAUUUUUACAAUUGCUUAGCUCCUUUGGAAUAGACCCUGAAAGCUGAUUUCCCCAAAGGACUAUAUCUGUCAAAUACUUUAGCAUUCCAACCUCUCUCGGUAUUUCCAUACCCAAUUGAUUUUGUGCAAGACCAAGAAUCUGCAAGUUCUCACAUCCACCUAUCUCUGGAGGUAAGCUUCCUGAUAUCAAAUUCUGCCCUGCUCUAAAUACAGUUAGAUUUUUAAGAUUGCCAAAUGAAGCUGGCAAUGGUCCAGUGAUGUUAUUACUAUAGGCAAUCAAUUGUGUCAAGGACAAAAGGUCACCAAUCUUGUUAGGGAAGGAGCCAGAUAUUCUGUUGUUGGAGAUAUUGAAAAUUGACAAAGAAGAAAGUUUAACUACAUCUACAGGAAUCUGGCCUUCAAAUUGGUUAUUGUUUAGACGAAGAACCUUUAAACUAGAACAAUUCCCAAUCUCACUAGGGAUAUUUUGAGAAAAACGGUUAAAAGAAAGAUCAAGAUAAAUCAAACUAGACAAGCCACCUACACUUGGUGACAAAGAACCAGAAAGAUUCAUAUAGCUCAAAUCAAGAGACCAAACCACUGGAUUGUAAUCAUUUGUGCAAUUCACACCUUUCCACCCACAAGGGGCGGAAUCAUUGGGAUUCCAGUCACUCAGAUGAUUAUAAUUGUCAACGAAUUUUCCCUUUAAAUCUAAGAGAAAUUGACCCUCAGCAUUAAGCCCUAAAGAUUGAUGAACCAUAAGGACAAUAAAAAGACCAAAAAAGGUGAUAGACCCACGUGAUAUUUUCUCCAUACCUACCAAAUAGAAGAGGAAUAUAUACUCAAGGUUUUGCAUUCACACGAAGAACAGACAAUUCAUGGUUGGAUAUGAAACAAAAGAGCAAAAUAUGAACUACACAGACAAUAAUCUCUUUAAACUCUCAUAAUAAUCCUCUUCUAUCACCAAACUAGGUUGUUCUAUUGGUUCAAGGAUCUGAGAUAUGCAUAUGCAGAUCACAGAAGUUUCAAAACCACAUACGAUAGACAAAGAAAAGUAAGCAACGACUGUACAUACCUCUUGGGUGAACGACCAACCCGAAGAAAAAAAGCCAACCCAAGAAAAACACAGGAACUGGGAAGAGAAAAUUGAAUAUUAGAGGGACUAUUUUUACCAGGAAGACCUCAAGUUUUGAAUAUAUGAGCUAGUAUUCUUUAAU